This 784-nucleotide long non-coding RNA is filed under the name Gadus morhua (Atlantic cod). Its description in RNAcentral is "lncRNA (ENSGMOG00000034764.1)". The record is from RNAcentral. Lineage: Eukaryota; Metazoa; Chordata; Actinopteri; Gadiformes; Gadidae.
GGGCUGUUCCCACCCAUUUUGUGUGUGUGUUAAUUUUGUGUUUUUUUUCCUUUGCUCUGCUACAGCUUUGUGGCGUGGCUCAGGAAGCAGAAGGUGGGAGCUGGGUCUAAGAUGGAGGCCCUGCAGAAAUAUGUGCUGGCCCGGGACGCAGAGCCCAAGGCAGCACCGGAGCCAGUUCAUGCCCUCCCACGGCCGGGCGUCUCCUACUCGGAUCCAACCGACGCCCAACUGCUCGCCGCUGCCGACGAGGUCGACCCUCCUGGUGAGUAUACGUUUUGAUCUGAGUACACCUGUGACGCACGUGUAAUGCACCGCCCUAAUGCUGACAUGUGUCAGGCACGUCCAGGUACGCCCCACCAACAGCUGUCCCGCUGGAAGGACCAGCACCAGGGCCAGGACCGAUGGCCCAGAGGCCUGCCACCGGCAAAGAGGUAUGUUUGAUGUGUGUGUGUAUGUAUAUGAUGCGUGUGUAUGCCUGUCUGUUGCACAUUAACACCCGCUAACUGUGUGUGUCUGCUGUGUGUGUGUGUUUCAGCUGCUUCCCCUCAGCUGGAGGCAGACGCUGCCUGAAGAGCAGCAGCAGUGGGUGGGCCGGGCCCUGUUCCACAGGGACCCCAGCAGCGGGAAGGUGGUCCUCUUCACACCGCCCCGACUGUGGUGGUACCCGCCAGGCGCCCGGCUCCUCUACACGCAGCCCCCCGCCACAGACCACGCCUUCUUCAAGCGUCCGUUCUUCCUCUGGCUGCCGGAUGUGGGCGUACCACCUCAAGUGCCCCGCCGAUGG